This 82-nucleotide small RNA is filed under the name Flavobacterium glaciei. RNAcentral describes it as "Flavo-1 RNA". It matches the Rfam family "Flavo-1 RNA". Lineage: Bacteria; Pseudomonadati; Bacteroidota; Flavobacteriia; Flavobacteriales; Flavobacteriaceae. The record is from RNAcentral.
UGCUAGCCCAGAUGGAAGUGAAAAUCCUUUUUAUGCGCCGUUUUGGCGGAUAAAAAGAUUGUAACAAACAGCUGGAAAUAGC